GGGAACGUACCUUUUGGUUCGGAACAACACAGGGAAACUUGUGCUAAUACCGGAUAAGCCCUUACGGGGAAAGAUUUAUCGCCGAAAGAUCGGCCCGCGUCUGAUUAGCUAGUUGGUAGGGUAACGGCCUACCAAGGCGACGAUCAGUAGCUGGUCCGAGAGGAUGAUCAGCCACAUUGGGACUGAGACACGGCCCAAACUCCUACGGGAGGCAGCAGUGGGGAAUAUUGGACAAUGGGGGCAACCCUGAUCCAGCCAUGCCGCGUGAGUGAUGAAGGCCCUAGGGUUGUAAAGCUCUUUUGUGCGGGAAGAUAAUGACGGUACCGCAAGAAUAAGCCCCGGCUAACUUCGUGCCAGCAGCCGCGGUAAUACGAAGGGGGCUAGCGUUGCUCGGAAUCACUGGGCGUAAAGGGUGCGUAGGCGGGUCUUUAAGUCAGGGGUGAAAUCCUGGAGCUCAACUCCAGAACUGCCUUUGAUACUGAAGAUCUUGAGUUCGGGAGAGGUGAGUGGAACUGCGAGU
This 520-nucleotide ribosomal RNA is filed under the name uncultured bacterium. RNAcentral's name for it is "bacterial SSU rRNA". It matches the Rfam family "Bacterial small subunit ribosomal RNA", at positions 120 to 674 of the family's 1533-position model. The record is from RNAcentral.